Molecule: ribosomal RNA, 455 nt
Filed under: Campylobacter concisus
Lineage: Bacteria; Pseudomonadati; Campylobacterota; Epsilonproteobacteria; Campylobacterales; Campylobacteraceae
Description: bacterial SSU rRNA
Rfam family: Bacterial small subunit ribosomal RNA
Source: RNAcentral
AGUGAACGCUGGCGGCGUGCCUAAUACAUGCAAGUCGAACGGACAAGUAAGAGCUUGCUCUUAUGAGUUAGUGGCGCACGGGUGAGUAAUGUAUAGCUAAUCUGCCCUACACUAGAGGACAACAGUUGGAAACGGCUGCUAAUACUCUAUACUCCUGUCUUACAUAAGUUAGAUAGGGAAAGUUUUUCGGUGUAGGAUGAGGCUAUAUUGUAUCAGCUAGUUGGUGAGGUAAUGGCUCACCAAGGCUAUGACGCAUAACUGGUCUGAGAGGAUGAUCAGUCACACUGGAACUGAGACACGGUCCAGACUCCUACGGGAGGCAGCAGUAGGGAAUAUUGCUCAAUGGGGGAAACCCUGAAGCAGCAACGCCGCGUGGAGGAUGACACUUUUCGGAGCGUAAACUCCUUUUGUUAGGGAAGAAUAAUGACGGUACCUAACGAAUAAGCACCGGCUAA